Molecule: ribosomal RNA, 818 nt
Filed under: uncultured bacterium
Lineage: Bacteria
Description: bacterial SSU rRNA
Rfam family: Bacterial small subunit ribosomal RNA
Source: RNAcentral
AACGAACGCUGGCGGCAGGCUUAACACAUGCAAGUCGAACGCCCCGCAAGGGGAGUGGCAGACGGGUGAGUAACACGUGGGAACAUACCCUUCGGUUCGGAACAACGCCGGGAAACUGGCGCUAAUACCGGAUACGCCCUUUUGGGGAAAGGCUUGCUGCCGAAGGAUUGGCCCGCGUUCGAUUAGCUUGUUGGUGAGGUAACGGCUCACCAAGGCGACGAUCGAUAGCUGGUCUGAGAGGAUGGCCAGCCACAUUGGGACUGAGACACGGCCCAAACUCCUACGGGAGGCAGCAGUGGGGAAUAUUGGACAAUGGGCGCAAGCCUGAUCCAGCCAUGCCGCGUGAGUGAUGACGGCCUUAGGGUUGUAAAGCUCUUUCGCACGCGACGAUAAUGACGGUAGCGUGAGAAGAAGCCCCGGCUAACUUCGUGCCAGCAGCCGCGGUAAUACGAAGGGGGCUAGCGUUGUUCGGAAUCACUGGGCGUAAAGGGUGCGUAGGCGGAUUCUUAAGUCAGGGGUGAAAUCCCGAGGCUCAACCUCGGAACUGCCUUUGAUACUGGGGAUCUUGAGUCCGGAAGAGGUGAGUGGAACUGCGAGUGUAGAGGUGAAAUUCGUAGAUAUUCGCAAGAACACCAGUGGCGAAGGCGGCUCACUGGUCCGGAACUGACGCUGAGGCACGACAGCGUGGGGAGCAAACAGGAUUAGAUACCCUGGUAGUCCACGCCGUAAACGAUGAAUGCCAGCCGUUGGGUGAUUUAUCACUGAGUGGCGCAGCUAACGCUUUGAGCAUUCCGCCUGGGGAGUACGGUCGCAAGAUU